RNAcentral lists this ribosomal RNA (460 nucleotides) under uncultured bacterium. RNAcentral describes it as "partial 16S ribosomal RNA". It matches the Rfam family "Bacterial small subunit ribosomal RNA", at positions 338 to 795 of the family's 1533-position model. The record is from RNAcentral.
CCUACGGGGGGCAGCAGUGAGGAAUAUUGGUCAAUGGGCGCGAGCCUGAACCAGCCAAGUCGCGUGAGGGAGGACGGCCCUACGGGUUGUAAACCGCUUUUGCCGGGGAGCAACGGGCGUCACGUGUGGCGCCACUGAGAGUACCCGGAGAAAAAGCAUCGGCUAACUCCGUGCCAGCAGCCGCGGUAAUACGGAGGAUGCGAGCGUUAUCCGGUUUUAUUGGGUUUAAAGGGUGCGUAGGCGGUUCGUUAAGUCGGGGGGAAAAUUGAGGGGCUAAACCCCUUCCCGCCAUUGAAACUGGCGAUCUUGAGUGGAAGAGAAGUAUGCGGAAUGCGUGGUGUAGCGGUGAAAUGCAUAGAUAUCACGCAGAACCCCGAUUGCGAAGGCAGCAUGCCGGCUUCCGACUGACGCUGAAGCACGAAAGCGUGGGGAUCGAACAGGAUUAGAUACCCCUGUAGUC